AAGGGCACCACAAGAACGCGUGGAGCAUGUGGCUUAAUUUGACUCAACGCGGGAAAUCUUACCGGGUCCGGACACACUGAGGAUUGACAGGUGGUUUACACACAUUUAUUAUUAAUGUGUGUAUAUAAAUAUGCUAGUUCUUUCAUGAUUAUGCGAUAGGUGGUGCAUGGCCGUUCUUAGUUCGUGGAGUGAUCUGUCUGCUUAAUUGCGUAUCACUAAACGUGUAAUUAUACAUAUGUAAUAUGCAGUGUCUAUAUACAUUUUUUUAAUGUAUAAUGACCUCAUAUUUACAUAUUAUACACGUUGAUAGCAACGAACGUGACCGUAACCUCUUGUUGCCUGGCUCGAAGACUCGUCUCAGUGUGUGAAUUAUUAUUCACAUCACUGUGGAGACCAGAUGCAAACUAGAGGGACCGCUGUAUUCUUUCUUAAACCAGGGGAAGGUUACGGCAAUAACAGGUCUGUGAUGCCCUUAGAUGUUCCGGGCCGCACACGUGCUACAAUGAUUAUUGCAGUGAGCAUCUCGAUCUGACAAAUUGUGUGUAUGCGUUACGUAUAUUUUAUAUAUAUGCACUGUCUAACACACAAUACUGCCUGCUUCGAAAGUUUGCGGGUAAUCAAUUAACAACAAUGAUUUCCAUUUAUAUAGCACACAUAUAUGUGAUUAUGUUAUCCACACAGUCCUUUGUGUCUGUGUCGUGCAUAACAUAAUUUUUCACAUGUGCAAUUGUCAAUUCAUGGUGGGGACAGACUAUUGUUAAUUAUUAGUCUCAGUCUUAACUAGGAAUGCCUUGUACUGGUUUAGUUCAUCAGACUACCAGGAAUACGUCCCUGCCCUUUGUACACACCGCCCGUCGCUCUUACCGAUGAACUAUACUGUGAGUAUAUUGGACUGUGUUUCUCGCGGAAAAAUACACGAACAGUGUGUUUAAAGGAAAGAGAAGUCGAACAAGGC
This 955-nucleotide ribosomal RNA is filed under the name Zaninettia conica. RNAcentral's name for it is "bacterial SSU rRNA". It matches the Rfam family "Eukaryotic small subunit ribosomal RNA", at positions 1160 to 1800 of the family's 1831-position model. The record is from RNAcentral. Lineage: Eukaryota; Foraminifera; Lituolida; Remaneicidae.